Molecule: long non-coding RNA, 518 nt
Filed under: Gallus gallus (chicken)
Lineage: Eukaryota; Metazoa; Chordata; Aves; Galliformes; Phasianidae
Description: long non-coding RNA NONGGAT001447
Source: RNAcentral
GCGCGUUCAAACGGCCCUCCAGGCCGAAAGGGGGCGCCCCACGCGUAGGCUUCGGGCCUCUUAGGGCCGGGCCCAGGCCUGGGCCUGGCGGGGCCGCUCUGGGCCGGGCUAUGAGGGGCGCCCCCGAGUGGGGCCUGCGGCGGUGCUCCGGGGCUGAGCCCGAGGGGGCCGUGGGGAGGACCUGAGGGCGGCUGGGGGGGAGGGAACGAGAACGGGGUGGGGCGAAGGGGAGGAGGGAUGAGCAGGUGCGGACAGCGGGCCUGUUGGAGCAGGAAGGGGCGGGGGCGGCCGCGGCCCGGGGCGGGCAUGGAGGAGCGCGGAACGGUCUGAGCCGUGUGGGGCCGGUCCAUCAGCAUGCUCCAGGUACCACUGCCCCUGGAUCGUGAUGGGAUCCUAUUCCGGCUCCGUUUCACCACUCUGGCUGUUGGGACUGUGUUUUGCCCCUUGUUUGGUUUCCUUUUCUGCGUGAUUUGGUCUCUGCUCUUCCACUUCCAGGAGACAACAGCCACCCACUGCGG